RNAcentral lists this ribosomal RNA (253 nucleotides) under uncultured bacterium. RNAcentral describes it as "partial 16S ribosomal RNA". It matches the Rfam family "Bacterial small subunit ribosomal RNA", at positions 524 to 776 of the family's 1533-position model. The record is from RNAcentral.
UACGUAGGGUGCGAGCGUUGUCCGGAAUUAUUGGGCGUAAAGAGCUUGUAGGCGGUUUGUCGCGUCUGCUGUGAAAAUCCGGGGCUCAACCCCGGACUUGCAGUGGGUACGGGCAGACUAGAGUGUGGUAGGGGAGACUGGAAUUCCUGGUGUAGCGGUGAAAUGCGCAGAUAUCAGGAGGAACACCGGUGGCGAAGGCGGGUCUCUGGGCCGUUACUGACGCUGAGGAGCGAAAGCGUGGGGAGCGAACAGG